Molecule: long non-coding RNA, 2281 nt
Filed under: Chelonus insularis
Lineage: Eukaryota; Metazoa; Arthropoda; Insecta; Hymenoptera; Braconidae
Description: uncharacterized LOC118067811, transcript variant X5
Source: RNAcentral
UCUGUUAUUACACAAGAACUCCGCGUCUAUAUUUUACCAGAAAACAUUUACGAGCAAAAAAUGCACGAUGGUAGCAGUCAUUUCUGUCACGUUAUAAAGAUCGUUUGCAUAGUUGAUUACAAAAUUUUAUACAUAGAUAUAGAAACUGCAUUAUAAAUGACUUUUUAUUUCUCAAUCUUUACAACUACGUUAAUUAUCUUCUUGGUAUUGAUUACCUGCAUUUUUUCAACUUCCGUUUGAUCCUAAAAAAAAAAAUAUAAAUAUAACCUUCAAUUUUUCAAAACGUUCAUUAAUAAUUGCAAAUAAAUUUCUGUUGAAUAAUUAUUAGGAUAAUAAUACAGAAAAUGGCAAAGGACUUACAAACGGCAAUCACUGAAAGAUAAAAUAAAAUACCUGGAAUGGUUGAUGUCUCUUAUCAGAAGCAGAAGAAUGGAUUGAUGAAUAACAAUAAUGAUAAUUCUCUGAAAAUCCAUCACUCAUUUUCCACAUAUUUAAAUAAACAUUCGCGAAGCAGUAAGACAAAUGAUGACUGCAAAAGGACAUUUUUACUCUUCAUAGUUCAUAUAUCAAAUGCUUAGAAAAGGCGACGACACAUAAAUACUGGUGUGCGGUGUACAAAAGUGGUUGUGGAAGACGCAAAUAUUCCAAGAGUCAGUGGAUAAAAUAUAUUGAAGCCAUCUCGUGUUCGCGUAGGCUUCACGAUUUUUCGGGGACACUGUCUCCCACCAUUCUUAUCCCUUAAUACACGUAAAAAAUUGUAUCUUCUAUACUUUUAAAAAUGAACUUAACCUUUUUUUUGAUUAUUUUUCAAGGUCCAAGAAUGACUUAUGUCGCCGGUAAUCUUUUACUCUUUCUCUAUAUGCUAUACUACUCUCUUGUAGUCUACUACCAGUGAUGUUUAUUUUUUCUCACUCACAUCUUCUCUUUUUACAACCGUUUAUUUUCUGUGGCACCCACAGGAGUCUCCCGCGACUAAUGCCCACCCUCGUGAUUUCGCCAACGUAUGAUAAAACAAAUUAAAAGACAUCCAGUUUAUAAGUACAAGUCUUGAAAUUUACUGAGAAAUAUCAAUGAUCGAUUUACUCAAGCAUUUUAAUUGGAACACCAAGUGGAUCCAUUUUUAUUGAGGAUCAUUUGCAGCAUUUGUAUAAGAAUAACAUUCGAGCAAGUAAUGAGAACUGUCAGACUGACGAUCUAACUAGGAGUAAAGGGACAGGGUUCAGGAUUAUUGAAUUACUUUGGAAACAGCCAAAUGUCAAAGACUAACCAAGAGCCAAACUAACUUGAGUGUAUGUAUGAGAGCUGAAUCGUUUGGUGUUGGUGAAUUUAUGCGCUGCAUAGGAUAUAAAGUGUACGGGUAAAUGGGAUUUAUAUUCUCUUAGAUGUGUAUAAUCAGGAGCUAAGAGAGAAAUGGACAUAAGAUAUGCCCAAAUCUGAAAUGAUCCUGGAAAAAGUGAUAAUUUAAUGAGAAAAAAAUCUCUCACUGCACCUCUAAAAGUCAGUCAUUACUUUAAAUACAGAUGAAAUGUUUGAUGCGCAUUAAACUCUUGUGUAAGAUAAAUCCUAAGGAGUCAUCCAUCUGUAAACGUGAGAAAAUGCAUUAAACAUUCUAAAAAAUAAACAAUCCAGCGCAUAUUCAACUACUUCUACAUUUUGUUUUUUACUUGAUAAAAUAUGCAUACGUACAAAUGUAACAAAAUAGCAAGUAAUUGAGUUUAAUUCACCAAUAAGCACACGACUAAAUUUUAUUAACAGUUAGAUUGACAAGUGAUAAAGGAAAAAAUAUGAUUGAUAAAACACGUGUAAUAUUAUACUAAUAGUAGUGUGAGACAUUUGGGUAAGGAAAGUCAAAGUUCAAUGACGAAACACGUGUCAGAUAAUCCAUUUCUCAACAGAAGUCCGUCCAUACGCCUACGCACGUCGAGAAGGGAGAGAAGAUAAGCGAGGUCAGUCGGUGUUACCGAAACAGAAACAUAGAACAUCCCUAUGUCAGUGUAACAACCCUUACUCUAGGAGGCGGUGACCUCCGUUGGGGUUGCACAAUCGCGCUCUGAUUGAUAAUUUAUACGGUGCGUGCAGGUUAUUUGAUUAUCUAUCUUCCCCUUCUGUGACUUGUCCUCGUCGUUCUAUUCUUUCUUUCACCUUACUAAAUCUUUAUAUAUAUUUUUGUUGAAAUAUUUUCUAUUCAUAUAUAAUCAUAUAAUUCUGCACAUGUGAAUAUUUUUUUCCAAAAUGAAUUUCAAUGUAAAACUAAAAAACAUACUUGUAAAUUAUUGGAGUA